CUACGGGACGCACCAGUGGGGAAUCUUAGACAAUGGGGGAAACCCUGAUCUAGCCAUGCCGCGUGAGCGACGACGGCCCUAGGGUUGUAAAGCUCUUUCAGCAGGGAAGAUAAUGACGGUACCUGCAGAAGAAGUCCCGGCUAACUCCGUGCCAGCAGCUGCGGUAAUACGGAGGGGACUAGCGUUGUUCGGAAUUACUGGGCGUAAAGCGCGCGUAGGCGGAUUGUUAAGUCGGGGGUGAAAUCCCGGGGCUCAACCCCGGAACUGCCCUCGAUACUGGCAGUCUUGAGUUCGAGAGAGGUGAGUGGAAUUCCGAGUGUAGAGGUGAAAUUCGUAGAUAUUCGGAGGAACACCAGUGGCGAAGGCGGCUCACUGGCUCGAUACUGACGCUGAGGUGCGAAAGCGUGGGGAGCAAACAGGAUUAGAUACCCUCGUAGUC
Molecule: ribosomal RNA, 439 nt
Filed under: uncultured bacterium
Lineage: Bacteria
Description: partial 16S ribosomal RNA
Rfam family: Bacterial small subunit ribosomal RNA
Source: RNAcentral